ACUGGUUACAUCAAAAUCUGCCCAACAUCUGCAGAUUUUACAGCUCUAGACACUGCCACCGUUCCAGCUGCUCCUGUUGCUGGUUCUGACCCCUCCUGACCAUCCGGAGCUGUGUCGCAAGAACGAGGGAGAAAGCUGCAAGACAUGGUUCUCCUAGCUCUAAGUAGCAUUGCCUGUGAUCCCCAGUAGAAGGUUAACAACACCACUACCUGCUGCUAAGUGCUGCAGAGUGAGGAACAGCAGCCAGUUCUCUGCUUCUGGCUUAGCUUCCUCCAGCUCAUCCUUAGAAAAGGAUCUGCCCUGCCUGCUUGCUCAUGAAGUCUGACCCCAACUAUUGGACCCACCUCCAGAAGCUUUUGGAUGGAGUGCAACAGUAACACAGCAACAGUAACACUCAACUCACUCCUACCUCCCCCCACAGCAGUCUCUUAAAGGCCCUUAUUAAGCACACUGAAAUACUGAAGAAGAAACCUGACUAAUGUAAACAUCACUUGAGCUUUUCUGAAAGAUGUGAACGGGGAGCAGCAGCUAACGGAACUUACUGCUCAUUCAGAAAGAAUAAAUCUGCGAGCCAGAUAAGAGGAAGCAAGAGCAAAAUUAGGAAAGUAUCAGCUGCACCAGCGGUGAGUGCAGGGCGCACCACCCCGCCCAGGACAUCCUCCUGCACCCGGGCACUCUGCAGGUUGACCCGUGCCCAAGCAGCAGCACCUGGGGAUACUAUGAGUCCUGCACUGCACCCUCAACCUCUGGGUGCAAGAAGACCUGCAGCUCCGGUGGGAGAUGCUUGCCAGGGCCAUGCCAUCUGCGAUCACCUGCAGACCCUGGUACAGAGAUUGCUGCCUCCUGCCACUCCAGCCCCUGCUGCCUCCCCAGCUACCACUCUUCCUCCACAUCCUCCCCUGGAGACACUGAGGUCCCCGCACCCGUAGUGGUGGGAGACAGGUGGGCCAGCAAGACCCUGAGCUUCUCCUCCUCCUUCCUCCUCUUGCCUCCCCCUUCCAGCUCCCUCCUCCCAGG
Pelodiscus sinensis (Chinese soft-shelled turtle) is the source of this 1017-nucleotide non-coding RNA. The record is from RefSeq and is a predicted model, not a curated record. NCBI's taxonomy places the organism in Eukaryota, Metazoa, Chordata, Testudines, Trionychidae.